UGCAGUCGAACGGCAGCACGGGAGCAAUCCUGGUGGCGAGUGGCGAACGGGUGAGUAAUGUAUCGGAACGUGCCCAGUCGUGGGGGAUAACGCAGCGAAAGCUGUGCUAAUACCGCAUACGAUCUAUGGAUGAAAGCGGGGGAUCGCAAGACCUCGCGCGAUUGGAGCGGCCGAUAUCAGAUUAGGUAGUUGGUGAGGUAAAGGCUCACCAAGCCGACGAUCUGUAGCUGGUCUGAGAGGACGACCAGCCACACUGGGACUGAGACACGGCCCAGACUCAUACGGGAGGCAGCAGUGGGGAAUUUUGGACAAUGGGCGCAAGCCUGAUCCAGCAAUGCCGCGUGCAGGACGAAGGCCUUCGGGUUGUAAACUGCUUUUGUACGGAGCGAAAAGGCUCUCUCUAAUACAGGGGGCUCAUGACGGUACCGUAAGAAUAAGCACCGGCUAACUACGUGCCAGCAGCCGCGGUAAUACGUAGGGUGCAAGCGUUAAUCGGAAUUACUGGGCGUAAAGCGUGCGCAGGCGGUUAUGUAAGACAGAGGUGAAAUCCCCGGGCUCAACCUGGGAACUGCCUUUGUGACUGCAUAGCUAGAGUACGGCAGAGGGGGAUGGAAUUCCGCGUGUAGCAGUGAAAUGCGUAGAUAUGCGGA
RNAcentral lists this ribosomal RNA (650 nucleotides) under uncultured bacterium. Its description in RNAcentral is "bacterial SSU rRNA". It matches the Rfam family "Bacterial small subunit ribosomal RNA", at positions 56 to 702 of the family's 1533-position model. The record is from RNAcentral.